Molecule: ribosomal RNA, 402 nt
Filed under: uncultured bacterium
Lineage: Bacteria
Description: bacterial SSU rRNA
Rfam family: Bacterial small subunit ribosomal RNA
Source: RNAcentral
UCGGGAAUUUUGGGCAAUGGGCGAAAGCCUGACCCAGCAACGCCGCGUGAGGGAUGAAGUAUUUCGGUAUGUAAACCUCGAAAGAAUGGGAAGAAUAAAUGACGGUACCAUUUAUAAGCUCCGGCUAACUACGUGCCAGCAGCCGCGGUAAUACGUAGGGAGCAAGAGUUGUUCGGAUUUACUGGGCGUAAAGGGCGCGUAGGCGGCGCGGUAAGUCACUUGUGAAAUCUCUGAGCUUAACUCAGAACGGCCAAGUGAUACUGCUGCGCUAGAGUGCGGAAGAGGCGACCGGAAUUCUUGGGGUAGCGGUGAAAUGCGUAGAGAUCAAGAGGAACACCGGGGGCGAAGGCGGGUUGCUGGGCCGACACUGACGCUGAUGCGCGAAAGCCAGGGGAGCAAACG